RNAcentral lists this ribosomal RNA (472 nucleotides) under uncultured bacterium. RNAcentral describes it as "SSU rRNA". It matches the Rfam family "Bacterial small subunit ribosomal RNA", at positions 26 to 518 of the family's 1533-position model. The record is from RNAcentral.
AGGACGAACGCUGGCGGCGUGCUUAACACAUGCAAGUCGAGCGGAAAGGCCCUUCGGGGUACUCGAGCGGCGAACGGGUGAGUAACACGUGAGCAACCUGCCCUUAGCUUCGGGAUAGCUCCGGGAAACCGGAAUUAAUACCGAAUAUGACUUUGGCUGACAUCAGCAGAAGUGGAAAGUUUUUCGGCUAGGGAUGGACUCGCGGCCUAUCAGCUAGUUGGUGAGGUAACGGCCCACCAAGGCGACGACGGGUAGCCGGCCUGAGAGGGCGACCGGCCACACUGGGACUGAGACACGGCCCAGACUCCUACGGGAGGCAGCAGUGGGGAAUAUUGCGCAAUGGGCGAAAGCCUGACGCAGCGACGCCGCGUGGGGGAUGAAUGCCUUCGGGUUGUAAACCCCUUUCAGCAGGGACGAAGCGAAGUGACGGUACCUGCAGAAGAGCGCCGGCUAACUACGCGCCAGCAGCCGC